Anastrepha obliqua is the source of this 404-nucleotide long non-coding RNA. RefSeq lists it as uncharacterized. The record is from RefSeq and is a predicted model, not a curated record. The transcript has 3 exons. NCBI's taxonomy places the organism in Eukaryota, Metazoa, Arthropoda, Insecta, Diptera, Tephritidae.
GCUGGUCGCAAAGUGAAAAUACGCAAGAAUAAAAUGUGUGAAUUGAGUCAAAAGUUCUAAAUUUAAAUAAAAAUGAUGAACAAAAUGGAGAAUGCAAGAAUCGGCCAAUGAUAUAGAGGUAUGUACUGUUGCCUCCAGACUCCAGUCACCGUUGUUGCAGUUUCGGAAAUACAAAUCGGAAGCAUUGAAGGCGGAAGCAUGGAAAAUAUGAAGAAAGCUGUGAUUGCCACAAUACAAACUGGUAAUGGAAUAUUCUUCAUCUGGCAGCAAUGAUGAAAGGGAUCAAAUUAUUGUGGACAAAAUAACACCAUGUGAUGCUGAGCUUAUUACUUUGUAUUUUAUUUGCUUCUUUUUCUAUUUAAUACGAGAUAACUCAACUGAAAAAAUUUGUACUUUUUGUGAUU